AUUUAAAUAGUUUACUUAAAAUAUUGAUUUGUGGAAUCAAAGUUAUAGCCUUUGUCUAUUUUA
Molecule: transfer RNA, 63 nt
Filed under: Abraeinae sp. MJTNT-2012
Lineage: Eukaryota; Metazoa; Arthropoda; Insecta; Coleoptera; Histeridae
Description: tRNA-His
Source: RNAcentral